CAGUAGCGUAUAUUAAAGUUGUUGCAGUUAAAAUGCUCGUAGUUGAAGUUCGGAUGCAGCAGAGCUUGGAAACGCUGUUAUGGUGCUUCCGUUGCUUUUGCUUGUCCACAGUGCGUUGCAAGUACGUAUGUGCUUGUGCGUGCAUUUUACUUUGAGAAACAUAGGGUGUUCCACGCAUGUUACGGCAUGAAUAUUCCAGCAUGGGAUAAUCUGGUACGACUUCCAAUCUGCCAUUUUGGUUCGUAGGUUGGAAGUAAUGAUUAAUAGGGACUGUCGGGGGCAUUGGUAUUUGACUGUCAGAGGUGAAGUUCUUAGAUUCGUUGAGGACCAACCACUGCGAAAGCAUUUGUCAAGGAUGUCUCCAUUA
Molecule: ribosomal RNA, 367 nt
Filed under: uncultured eukaryote
Lineage: Eukaryota
Description: partial 18S ribosomal RNA
Rfam family: Eukaryotic small subunit ribosomal RNA
Source: RNAcentral